GAGUUAGCUGUACGGUUGCGGGGAAACUUUUAAGUUUCCGUGAGGAAAGUCCGAGCUUCAUAAAGCAGGGUGCCGGAUAACGUCCGGUAACGGUAACGUUCAGGAAAGUGCAACAGAAAAUAACCGCUCGAAAGAGUAAGGGUGAAAAGGCGAGGUAAAAGCUCACCGGCAUUACGGUAACGUAUAUGCGUCAGUGUAAACCCCACCUGAAGCAAGAUAGGAACGGUCGAUACGGGGUCGCUUGCCCCGACUUGUUCGCAAAACGUCGCUUGAAUUCGUCGGUAACGGCGAAUCUAGAUAGAUAACCGUAUUAAAUGACAGAACUCGGCUUAUAGGCUAUCUC
This 343-nucleotide RNase P RNA is filed under the name human gut metagenome. RNAcentral describes it as "Bacterial RNase P class A". It matches the Rfam family "Bacterial RNase P class A". Rfam says of the family: Ribonuclease P (RNase P) is a ubiquitous endoribonuclease, found in archaea, bacteria and eukarya as well as chloroplasts and mitochondria. Its best characterised activity is the generation of mature 5'-ends of tRNAs by cleaving the 5'-leader elements of precursor-tRNAs. The record is from RNAcentral.